This 441-nucleotide long non-coding RNA is filed under the name Capsicum annuum. RNAcentral's name for it is "long non-coding RNA (CANN_LNC009047)". The record is from RNAcentral. Lineage: Eukaryota; Viridiplantae; Streptophyta; Magnoliopsida; Solanales; Solanaceae.
UCCUUGAUAUUAUGAUCUUCUGUAUGUGCAAGUAGCACACGUACUACUUCAGUGUGCCCUUCGUUAGCUGCUAUGUGAAGAGCGGUUUCAUUUUUCUUGUUUUGACAGCAUAAUAAUGCUGGAGUAAUCUUAAGGACUUCUGUCGCGAAAUGGAAGUGGCCAUAGAGGACUGCGACAUGAAGGUUUCGUUUUUCUUGUUUUGACAGCAUAACAUUGCCAGAGUAAUCUUAAGGACUUCUGCCGCGAAAUGGGAGUGGCCAUAGAGGGCUGUGACAUGAAGGACAGUGUUUCCCUUUGGAGUGACUUGGUAGCCGUUUUCUUCAUCCCUUUUCAGAUGAUCAGCAAGUAGAAAAUUGACAUCUCCGAUAUUGCCUCUCAUCGCAGCAGUGUACAAGAUUGGAUCCAUUCCUUUUGAUAAUCCUGUGAGUCCUUUGCUUUCCC